This 454-nucleotide ribosomal RNA is filed under the name Selenomonas sp. oral taxon 137. RNAcentral describes it as "bacterial SSU rRNA". It matches the Rfam family "Bacterial small subunit ribosomal RNA", at positions 28 to 461 of the family's 1533-position model. The record is from RNAcentral. Lineage: Bacteria; Bacillati; Bacillota; Negativicutes; Selenomonadales; Selenomonadaceae.
GACGAACGCGGCGGCGUGCUUAACACAUGCAAGUCGAACGGAGCGAAUGAAAGCUUGCUUUUAUGAGCUUAGUGGCAAACGGGUGAGUAACACGUAGACAACCUGCCGAUCAGAUGGGGACAACAUUCCGAAAGGAAUGCUAAUACCGAAUGAGGUGUAGGGGAGGCAUCUCCCCUACAUGAAAGAUGGCCUCUAUAUAUAAGCUAUCACUGAUCGAUGGGUCUGCGUCUGAUUAGCUAGUAGGUAAGGUAACGGCUUACCUAGGCGACGAUCAGUAGCCGGUCUGAGAGGAUGAACGGCCACAUUGGGACUGAGACACGGCCCAGACUCCUACGGGAGGCAGCAGUGGGGAAUCUUCCGCAAUGGGCGCAAGCCUGACGGAGCAACGCCGCGUGAGUGAAGAAGGUCUUCGGAUCGUAAAGCUCUGUUGAAAGGGGACGAAACGUGCAUAAAC